GUCCUAGUAUAGCAUCUAUACGGUGAACUGCGAAUGGCUCAUUAAAUCAGUUAUCGUUUAUUUGAUAGUACCUUACUACUUGGAUAACCGUGGUAAUUCUAGAGCUAAUACAUGCUAAAAACCCCGACUUCGGAAGGGGUGUAUUUAUUAGAUAAAAAACCAAUGCCCUUCGGGGCUCCUUGGUGAUUCAUAAUAACUUAACGAAUCGCAUGGCCUUGUGCCGGCGAUGGUUCAUUCAAAUUUCUGCCCUAUCAACUUUCGAUGGUAGGGUAGUGGCCUACCAUGGUUUCAACGGGUAACGGGGAAUUAGGGUUCUAUUCCGGAGAGGGAGCCUGAGAAACGGCUACCACAUCCAAGGAAGGCAGCAGGCGCGCAAAUUACCCAAUCCCGACACGGGGAGGUAGUGACAAUAAAUACUGAUACAGGGCUCUUUUGGGUCUUGUAAUUGGAAUGAGUACAAUUUAAAUCCCUUAACGAGGAACAAUUGGAGGGCAAGUCUGGUGCCAGCAGCCGCGGUAAUUCCAGCUCCAAUAGCGUAUAUUAAAGUUGUUGCAGUUAAAAAGCUCGUAGUUGAACCUUGGGCCUGGCUGGCCGGUCCGCCUCACCGCGUGCACUGGUCCGGCCGGGUCUUUCCUUCUGGGGAGCCGCAUGCCCUUCACUGGGUGUGUCGGGGAACCAGGACUUUUACUUUGAAAAAAUUAGAGUGUUCAAAGCAGCCUAUGCUCGAAUACAUUAGCAUGGAAUAAUAGAAUAGGACGUGUGGUUCUAUUUUGUUGGUUUCUAGGACCGCCGUAAUGAUUAAUAGGGAU
Molecule: ribosomal RNA, 809 nt
Filed under: Pezizellaceae sp.
Lineage: Eukaryota; Fungi; Ascomycota; Leotiomycetes; Helotiales; Pezizellaceae
Description: SSU rRNA
Rfam family: Eukaryotic small subunit ribosomal RNA
Source: RNAcentral